AAUGCAGAAUACCCAGUUAAAUUUGAAUUUUAAAUAAACAAUGAAAUUUUGUUUUGAUGUAAGUAUGUUCCAUGCAAUAUUUGGGACAUACUUAUACAAAAAAUUUAUUUGUUGUUGUUCUGAAAUUCAAAUUUUACUGGGCAUCCUGUAUUUU
RNAcentral lists this microRNA precursor (154 nucleotides) under Loxodonta africana (African savanna elephant). RNAcentral describes it as "miRNA (ENSLAFG00000030681.1)". Lineage: Eukaryota; Metazoa; Chordata; Mammalia; Proboscidea; Elephantidae. The record is from RNAcentral.